GUGGCUUUCUGCGAGCAACUGCGCACUCCAAUAGCCAUUCAAUAGGAGAUACUGAGAAUACGAAAAAUACCAAUGGAAUAUUGCUUAGUUUUAGGUAAAUAAUAAAUAGUAACUUGUUUACUACAUUUUCAAGAUAAAUACGCCGUCUUAUCUAAUACCGAUAAACGAAAUGUAUGUUGGAAAUUGUUAAAACAAAUGGAAACUCACUGAACGGAUUUUGAUGCAGUUUUCCAUGGUAUAUGGACUACCGUGCCGAUUAUUUUCAGAUUAUUGUCAAUAUCUCAUAGGGUAGCUGUAGUUUGGGCGAGCGGAGGGACUGCUUAUGCCGGAGGAUAGGGCGGAAGUCCCUUUUCAGAAGGAAUCAUGAAAAAGAGUGGUUGGAUUUUUAAGUUUUGCUCAGAACAAUUUGAAAAUAUUGGAAGGAAUAUAGGUCCAAAGUUAGAGUUCCUGGUAAAAUCAGAUUUAGAAGACCAAAUAAUAAUGGCUACCUCUUUUCAAUAUCGAUAAAGUAAACCGGUUACGUAAGAUAAAAUUGAAUGUUUAUUACUUGGAAUGACAAAACCGAGGGAAGUAAGUCAAGAGCUAUAAAAACGAGUACACGGAACUGUUUUAACUGCGUUACAAUUAUGUUCAAAAAACUAAAAACUUUUGGGUGUUUCAUUCCCACUAGCCAGUAAUGCUGGUGGGCGGGCA
This is a long non-coding RNA of Agrilus planipennis (emerald ash borer), 693 nucleotides long. RefSeq lists it as uncharacterized. NCBI's taxonomy places the organism in Eukaryota, Metazoa, Arthropoda, Insecta, Coleoptera, Buprestidae. The transcript has 3 exons. The record is from RefSeq and is a predicted model, not a curated record.